This is a long non-coding RNA of Ipomoea nil (Japanese morning glory), 148 nucleotides long. RefSeq lists it as uncharacterized. Lineage: Eukaryota; Viridiplantae; Streptophyta; Magnoliopsida; Solanales; Convolvulaceae. The transcript is spliced from 3 exons. The record is from RefSeq and is a predicted model, not a curated record.
AAUAAUCCUAUAAACACUAAGCUCCCUUGUAUUCUUUAUACAAUACAUUAUAUCAAAACAUGCUCUAUCUACUGGACCGAUCAAUCUUUUACUUCGUAAUUACAGUAGUAUAAUGUGUGUGUGUUCUCAUUAAUUAUAAUAUAAUGUG